GAUGAACGCUGGCGGCGUGCCUAAUACAUGCAAGUCGAGCGAACAGACGAGGAGCUUGCUCCUCUGACGUUAGCGGCGGACGGGUGAGUAACACGUGGAUAACCUACCUAUAAGACUGGGAUAACUUCGGGAAACCGGAGCUAAUACCGGAUAAUAUAUUGAACCGCAUGGUUCAAUAGUGAAAGACGGUUUUGCUGUCACUUAUAGAUGGAUCCGCGCCGCAUUAGCUAGUUGGUAAGGUAACGGCUUACCAAGGCAACGAUGCGUAGCCGACCUGAGAGGGUGACCGCCCACACUGGAACGGGGACACGGUCCAGACUCCAACGGGAGGCAGCAGUAGGGAAUCUUCCGCAAGGGGCGAAAGCCUGACGGAGAAACGCGGCGGGAGUGAUGAAGUCCUCCGGAUCGUAAAACUCUUUUAUUGGGAAAGAACAAUGUGUAAGUAACUAUGCACGUCUUGACGGUACCUAAUCAGAAAGCCACGGCUAACUACGUG
This 496-nucleotide ribosomal RNA is filed under the name uncultured bacterium. RNAcentral describes it as "partial 16S ribosomal RNA". It matches the Rfam family "Bacterial small subunit ribosomal RNA", at positions 28 to 507 of the family's 1533-position model. The record is from RNAcentral.